UACGGGGGGAGCAAGCGUUGUUCGGAUUUACUGGGCGUAAAGGGCGCGUAGGCGGCCACCGCAAGUCGACUGUGAAAUCUCCGGGCUUAACCCGGAAAGGUCAGCCGAUACUGCGGGGCUAGAGUGCAGAAGGGGCAACUGGAAUUCUCGGUGUAACGGUGAAAUGCGUAGAUAUCGAGAGGAACACCUGCGGCGAAGGCGGGUUGCUGGGCUGACACUGACGCUGAUGCGCGAAAGCUAGGGGAGCGAACGGG
Molecule: ribosomal RNA, 254 nt
Filed under: uncultured bacterium
Lineage: Bacteria
Description: partial 16S ribosomal RNA
Rfam family: Bacterial small subunit ribosomal RNA
Source: RNAcentral